GGCACUAUCGUCUAACAGGUUAGGACGCGACCCUUUCAAGGUUGAAACCGCGAGUUCAAUUCUCCGUAGUGCUACCA
RNAcentral lists this transfer RNA (77 nucleotides) under Bacteroidaceae bacterium. RNAcentral describes it as "tRNA-Glu". It matches the Rfam family "tRNA". Rfam says of the family: Transfer RNA (tRNA) molecules are approximately 80 nucleotides in length. Their secondary structure includes four short double-helical elements and three loops (D, anti-codon, and T loops). Further hydrogen bonds mediate the characteristic L-shaped molecular structure. tRNAs have two regions of fundamental functional importance: the anti-codon, which is responsible for specific mRNA codon recognition, and the 3' end, to which the tRNAs corresponding amino acid is attached (by aminoacyl-tRNA synthetases). tRNAs cope with the degeneracy of the genetic code in two manners: having more than one tRNA (with a specific anti-codon) for a particular amino acid; and 'wobble' base-pairing, i.e. permitting non-standard base-pairing at the 3rd anti-codon position. The record is from RNAcentral. Lineage: Bacteria; Pseudomonadati; Bacteroidota; Bacteroidia; Bacteroidales; Bacteroidaceae.